UGGUUUUGGACACGUGAAAAU
This 21-nucleotide microRNA is filed under the name Arabidopsis thaliana (thale cress). Its description in RNAcentral is "ath-miR826b". Its record names the gene ath-miR826b. The record is from miRBase by way of RNAcentral. Lineage: Eukaryota; Viridiplantae; Streptophyta; Magnoliopsida; Brassicales; Brassicaceae.